GAUCCAAUGGCCUAGUAGUUAAAGCAUCCGCUUAGGAUGCGGGAGGUCGCGGUUUCAAACGCUGUCCGAGUCA
This is a non-coding RNA of Potamilus streckersoni, 73 nucleotides long. Lineage: Eukaryota; Metazoa; Mollusca; Bivalvia; Unionida; Unionidae. The record is from the annotation of a GenBank genome assembly.